RNAcentral lists this non-coding RNA (206 nucleotides) under Caloranaerobacter azorensis. Its description in RNAcentral is "T-box sequence". It matches the Rfam family "T-box leader". From Rfam's summary of the family: Uncharged tRNA acts as the effector for transcription antitermination of genes in the T-box leader family. T-boxes are found upstream of many aminoacyl-tRNA synthetase genes and some amino acid biosynthetic genes usually in Gram-positive bacteria. The record is from RNAcentral. Lineage: Bacteria; Bacillati; Bacillota; Tissierellia; Tissierellales; Thermohalobacteraceae.
UUAACAACGAUGAUAGGGAGUAGUAGGUAUUACGAGUCUUAUAGAGAGAAUACCCAUGGCUGGAAGGUAUUUAGACGAGUGUACUGAAGCAGCCCUUAAGUUGAGGCUUCGAAAUUAGAGUAGGAGUCUACGGUUAUUCCGUUAUCAUAUUUGAGCGACUUUAUAGUAAGUAGGGUGGUACCGCGGGUUUUUCUCUCGUCCCUAAU